RNAcentral lists this transfer RNA (75 nucleotides) under Saprospirales bacterium. RNAcentral's name for it is "tRNA-Gln". It matches the Rfam family "tRNA". Rfam says of the family: Transfer RNA (tRNA) molecules are approximately 80 nucleotides in length. Their secondary structure includes four short double-helical elements and three loops (D, anti-codon, and T loops). The record is from RNAcentral. Lineage: Bacteria; Pseudomonadati; Bacteroidota; Saprospiria; Saprospirales.
UGGGAAGUAGAUCAAUGGUAGAUCACUUGUUUUUGGUACAAAAGGUUGUAGGUUCGAGUCCUACCUUCCCAGCCA